UCCUUCAACCAUAUGCCCAACCACCCUAACAAAUCCACCAAACCAACUUUAAACCAAAACAUUUGACAAGCAUAGUAUAAGAGAUAGAACCACAUCUUGGCGCACAACAGUACCGCAAGGGAAACAAGAAAGAAAAAUUAAAUAUAAAAGCAAAAUAAGCAGAGAUUAAAACCCAUACCUCUUGCAUCAUGGUUUAACAAGUCAACCAUGGACAAAAUGCCCUGCUCCCAGCCCAUUACCCCGAAAUCAAGUGAGCUACCUCUAACCAACUUAUAGAGUCAACCCGUCACUGUAGCAAAAGUGUGGGAUGAGUUAGAGAUAGAAGUGAAAAGC
RNAcentral lists this ribosomal RNA (333 nucleotides) under Aspidoscelis sexlineatus (six-lined racerunner). RNAcentral describes it as "partial 16S large subunit ribosomal RNA". Lineage: Eukaryota; Metazoa; Chordata; Lepidosauria; Squamata; Teiidae. The record is from RNAcentral.